UGGUUGGCAUUCAGAUAAUGAAUUCAAUUCCAAUGGUUUUCCUCCUCGAGUGAUAAAACAUGCUGAGGAGUCCUUAGGUGAACCGUGCACAGAAGAAACACAAUCCAGAGUCGGAAUCUGAAUGGGUUAAUCAGGGUGGGUUUCGCGCAGCAAAUUUUGCAGUAGCGACUUCCAGUCAUAUGGAGGAUCUAGUUGGAAUGCCAUCUGAGGCAUUUGGUGCUUAGCUGAGUUAUA
This 234-nucleotide unclassified non-coding RNA is filed under the name Hevea brasiliensis (rubber tree). The record is from RNAcentral. Lineage: Eukaryota; Viridiplantae; Streptophyta; Magnoliopsida; Malpighiales; Euphorbiaceae.